AUGUGGCAGAAACAACAUUUGAAGCUUAGACUGGAGUGGAUCCUAAGGAGUCAUGAGAUCUUGCAGCUUUGUCCUUGGCUCCUGCCUCUGCUUUCUUCAGCCUCCAGCUCAAUUCCAACUUGUGGCUUCUCAAUCUCCAACUGAAGUGAGUAGGCUUUUGUAUCUCCCAAUCUGGUUGCGCCUCUGAGAGUGGGUUUCUGCUGAACUGACCGACGCUCCCUUCUUCAAUCUAAUUCAGCUGAACUCUUCUCUCAGUGUUUUCAGCUCAACUCCUCUCUGUCUGUUUCUUAUAUACGAUCUCUUCUGAGAGAGAGGGAUUAUGGGUUAUCUCCCAGAGUGCUCUCUGGCCCUAAGGGAGGUAUGAAUUCGGAUCUUAUACUAAGCCCUGAACUCUCCCAAACGUGUGAACUCCAUUGAGUACUUAGAUACUUAUGAGCUCUCUAAAGGUAUGAACACAAGCAUUGUUUCCAUCAGUAUUAGCAACUUAUCACCUUGUAAAGGAUUUGCUCUAAGGUGUGAACCAAUAAGCACUGUAUCAAUUCUAUUGAGUUAACACCAGGAUUCUGAAAUCACCCUUAAGUUUUCACCUUGUUUCAAGU
This 599-nucleotide long non-coding RNA is filed under the name Sarcophilus harrisii (Tasmanian devil). Its description in RNAcentral is "lncRNA (ENSSHAG00000022093.1)". Lineage: Eukaryota; Metazoa; Chordata; Mammalia; Dasyuromorphia; Dasyuridae. The record is from RNAcentral.